GACUGGAACAGUGCCACAUCAGAUCUCUGUUGCUACCAUUUGAACGUGUCUCCUCCAAGUCUCAGAUGCUGCCAACGUAUUAGCAUAAGAGGUGACAAUAUCAUGAGGGCCUCUCCCCUUUAGCAUCAGCUACUUUACUGUUGCUAUAACAAAAUACCUGACAGAAGAGCUUAUGGAGGAAAGGGGUCGCAGUCCCUCAGGACAGGCACACUUGGCUGCAGGAGGAGCACUGACAGCAGCAGCAGGAGGGAGAGAGGAAGGCACCGACUCUGGCCGGUCCAGGCGGGUCCUGAUGUCAUCGGACGAUGCUGCCGCUGGGUCCCUUAUCACGAGCAUGUAUGUGAACAUGCUUCUCCUCUCCCGUGUGCUCUUUACAUCAAAGUCAACACAGGUUUAGGGUCUCUUCUCAUGGCAGAAAGAGCCCACAUGUGACAGACACUUCAACUUCCAGACUGUGUCCCUGCCCUGCAGCCGCUGUCUUUGCUGCUGGUGUCAGGAAGGAACUGGACAGACGCCUAAAAUCUGAUCUUUCUGGAUCCUCCCAGACACACAAACAUCUACAGGAAGGCUGGAUAUGGGAUGCUGCUGCAGAUUCCAGCCACAGGCCAACCUGCAAGCAAGCCUUCCUACGACCAGAAGAUGCCAAGCCAAGCCAAUCUUGAUAACGUAUUUUGGCACGACGGUCAAGAGGAGAUCUUUCUAGACACAUGAAAGCAGCAUACAGUGUUGGCUUGAAUCUGGCUCCAUGAGGUGAAAAGUAUUCCAGCAGACCCUGCGGGCUGUGCCAGCGCCAGCCACGCUGACCUGAACUCUGGUGGGAAGAGUGCCUGCCACCCACACUGCUAAGAAAACUGGUAUCUAUCGAAUCCCCCUCCCCACCCCCAAGGAUUUUUCCACAGCCAAAGUUGUCCUCUUGAGUCAGAGCACCACCCGAAGUCAAACCUCCAGACUCCACAGUCUACAUGGAAUCAGGAGUAAGCUCCCCAGAUGCAGAGCUGUCAGAAAAUCACGUUGAAGGCUGUGGAUCGGAACGC
Molecule: long non-coding RNA, 1034 nt
Organism: Mus musculus (house mouse)
Lineage: Eukaryota; Metazoa; Chordata; Mammalia; Rodentia; Muridae
Product: predicted gene, 42283
Exons: 4
Source: RefSeq, a predicted model, not a curated record